GCCGACCUCCAUGACAGAUGAAAGUAUAGCUCGACUUCCUGGUUAUAAGGAUCCCAUAAGUGUUCAAUGUGAUCCACAAUCAACCUGACCUAAAUGCCCUCUGAGCCGUAGUUUCAACCUACUACCUCCUGAUUAGAUUUUCGAUGAAGCAUGAAAUUAGAGAGAUCCAAGGAGACCAAGCGCAUGCGCAACAAUGUUAUAUGACAACUCUUCAAGAAGUUAGGUGACCCAAGGCACUCCCAGUCCAAGGAUUGGACGUUAGCAACGAGCUAAGUGAGCAAUGCAAUGAGCCAUGAAGGACCUCGUCUUAGGACCAUUGG
Molecule: long non-coding RNA, 320 nt
Filed under: Elaeis guineensis (African oil palm)
Lineage: Eukaryota; Viridiplantae; Streptophyta; Magnoliopsida; Arecales; Arecaceae
Description: long non-coding RNA (EGUI_LNC032771)
Source: RNAcentral